Molecule: long non-coding RNA, 5214 nt
Filed under: Bemisia tabaci
Lineage: Eukaryota; Metazoa; Arthropoda; Insecta; Hemiptera; Aleyrodidae
Description: lncRNA ENSSSA2NGG002441
Source: RNAcentral
CUGUGUUCGAAGAGGGGCGGAAGUUCAACUUGGCGACCAAAGUUAUGAGCAACGGCGUGGAGGUGAUCGUAGCAGGCGACAAAAGCACACUGCCCGGUGGCCCGGAGAUCCUGAGGGUCCUCCCUCCGACCCCUACGAGACCCAUCACUCUAGCCCCUAGCACGCUCACCGACCACAUGAUGAUGCUCCUACCUCAGGGAUCUCAGAAUCAAUUGGAGAAUCAGUUCAUAACGAAAACCUACCUGACUACGUUUACGUACCUGACAACUUUCCUCAAGGAUGGUGCAACAGUCGUAUCGAGCAACGAGAAGGUGAUUUCAAAUGUGGCAACAGAAGAACUGAAUAAGAUAACUCCGACCCCAUCCCUGAAAACGACUCCUAUCACCCUCUCAGCCAGUCCGAGUCUUGCUACAGGAGUGUUCCACACUACCUACACAUACUUCAACACUCUGGUUGAUGGGGACGUACCCUUAGUUGUGACAUCCAAGAAGACGGUUGCAAACACAGUCACUGCUCCCCAAGACUACAUGAAUUUGCUGCAACCAUCAGAGCCAGCAAUCCAAACCACCAAUACUUAUUUAAAUACAGUAUCAUUUACCAAGACUCUCUCGGACAGUGGCGAUUUCAAAAUUGUGAGCACAGCUGACGUUUUGACCCAAGUUGUCGUGACAAAAACUGACAACAAACCAUCAGUCAUUGACAUCAAGCCAACAGCUCUCACAACUGAUGUGACAAAAACAUAUUUUGUCACCUACACUUACUACAGCACCUUCUUGGAGGGUACUAACACCGUUGUCAAGUCUAACUUUGCUGUUUCCUCCGACAUUGUCACUGAAAAGUUUUUCCUGAAGCGGACCGCAAACCCUCAGCCAACCUCUGCCUCCUCAAUUGAAGAGGUCAAACCAACGGAGGUCGCUAUGCUUCAAACGGAAGCAGACAAGUCAAUCAAUGUCUUUGCCACAAAAACUUACCUGACAACUUAUACGUAUUUCACAACGUUGGUUCAGAGUAAAGGUGAGAACAAACAGCCCAGUACAAUUGUCAACUCUCGUACGAAAGUAGUGGAAAACGUAGUGACAGAGUCACUCGCAACAUCUUUGUUGGAUGUCGACUACCUGUCAUCUCUAAAGAAUUCCUUGAAAAGUGACGUGCCGAUUAUUGCAACUGCCACAUUGAACGAUGGUCAGAAAAUGGAAAUAACUGCUAUCAACCAUGUCCGUGCACCAUUCCAAACAUCUUUCAACUCAGUUGCCCCCAGUUUUGAGCAGACAUCGCCCGCAAACGCUGCCCCAACUGAGCCAAUCAAAAAUCACAAGAACAAUACCAAAAUAAAUCACAAGAAAACAAAUUCAACGGCCAUCAAUGAUAUCAAAAGUCAAAAUGCUUCAAAAACCAAUGCCACCGAAACAGUCAAGAAACCAUAUGAAACAUCCAUUCUUGCAUCUUCCACAGUCAUGAAAAAUGGCGUGACCUUGGGUCCCGGUGCACAAAUUAUCAAGCUGACCUCUGAAGAUGGGAAUGUGACCAUCAUUCCGGUCUCAGACCCAGUGAGUAAGCAUCCAGAUGGAUCCGCACUGAACAAGGUACCAAACUUGCAGAGCGGAAGCUCAGGUGUAAAUGAACUGUUUAAUUUAGGAUCAGUAGGAGUGAAUGGCUUGGCAGCUCUUGCACCUGUCCUAAAUGUAAUGGCAGGCUUGAUUAAAAGUAACACCAAGAAAAAGAAUGAAACUUUUACAACCAACAAAUCAACCAUUAAACCAUUUACGAAGCUGCCUCCAGUGAGCACUGCUACAAAUCCAUUAUUAACACAUACCAAAUCUCCAAACCGGUCACCAAUUUAUAUACCAGUCGGUGGUCUGGCAGACUCAGAGCCCGGAGACUCUGUUGCGGAAGAAAGCCAGAGAGUGGAAAGGCCAGAAGAGUACAUCGAUGUAAAUGAAAGAGCAGGCGCUCAAUCGGUAAGCAGGCCAACAAUCGAAAGCCCUCUCCUAACGGGUGGAAUACCAAUCAGCCCAGGUCAAGUAAUCACAGCGAACAGUGAUGUUAUCAUAGGUAGACCAGCGGUGCAUGGACCUCGCCCACCAGAAGGUGACAAACCGAUUCGGAAAGAUGAUGUUCCAAUUGGUAUGCUACCACCUCCGAUCCCAAGCUACACUCGUGACAAAGGUAUAGUUCAAAAAGUGGCAGCGCCACCGGUCACAGGCACCCAACGCAUCAUGACCUGAGGCACAAGUUACCGCCUAAACAUCAUCACCACCAUCAUCAUGACUCAGUAAAAGACUUUAGCCACCAUAAACCACACCCCAUCAACCCUAGCCGCAAGGAUAACGAUCUGAAGCAUUAUAUCAAACCAUCAGUCGACCACUACCCUGAUCACCCGCGGCCAGAGGUUAACUCAAUCCCAUUGUAUGGUGAAAUUCAGCCAACUAAGGUUGUUACAGCUCACAUCGAAACUGUAUCAUUUGGCAAGUACCCGUCUGACUUGAACAACAAUAUUGAGCCCCACCGCCAUAACUCAAUUCUUGGUGUAGAGCAUCCAACAUUCGUUGAACCAUCUUCUGUUGAUCCACUACUGGUAAAUAUAAAACCACUCCAGGUCGCAAAUGUGGUCAUACCGCAUGGCAGUCAGACAGCGUUGAUUUACAGCGACCAGGCUGUUGGAAAUGGUCAUGGACCGAAAGGUGAGAUCUUCAAUGACCAGCUCCUUACCCAGAGCCUGUUGUUAACCCUGGUUUUGUCGGGUUAAAAGUCUUAGGACCCAAACCAUCUGCUCCGCUAAAAAUACCGCACACGCAACUGCCAGCCACUCCAGUUUUAAACAUACCGUUAUCAUCUCAAGGAAUCCAUAUUGGGUCUGGAACAACUUCUGAAUCUCAUCACAUUAUUCUAAUCGAUUCCAAUGGACAGCCAAUCAAUAACAUUGAUAUUGGAACUCCAUCAAUAGAAAUAUCCUCAGUUGGUGUUGGUAAUCAUCACUUGCCAACACCAGAUACCCCUCCGAGGGAGCGAACACCGAUGCCAAAUUCUUUCAGACGACCGGAGGUGGAUUUAAAUCGGAUAAACAAUCACUAUCAAACCUCUCCCUCUACCCCAUCGCAUCAGAACCACAUCCAAAAUAACUACAUCCGACCUGAUGCAGCUGAUGAUAAUGACUCGUAUGAAUCUGAAGAAGGUGAAAUUAUUCAAGAAUCAAAAACCAGACCAUUAAAGCCUGGACAAGUUCCUCAAGAGCUUGUUUCACAAUCUACAAGUAUGCCGAUAAAUCCCCCAGGGGAAGACGGCUCGUUUGAAAACAAAGAGGACAGACCAAGCCGCAAUGCCACCUUCCACCACGGUAGACCCAAUUAUGACAUUUUCUCAGAUGACUAUAGAGUUAAAACAUCUGUCGUAAAUGGCAAGCCACAGAACUUCCCAAAACUUACUGGCGAUUCACAGACUGUGUCCAUCGGUCAACAGACUCACCUAAAACCUGACGGGACUCCAUCAAUCCUAACCAACCAUAUCAGUUUAAUGGAGAAAAAGAGCAUCGAAUCGAACCGACGCCUCACUCAUUUCCACACAAGAACCAAUCAUUGUCCAGUUUUCCAUUUGGCGCUAAGAUCCCAAUGCAUGAAUUCGACGAAACUGUACCAACGAUGAACAUUGAUGAAAAAAUUCCGCCACCACCUCCACCGCCAAGAAAACCAGCUCCUACAGUCGAGACCAGGCCUCAUCCAAGUAGCGCUGAAACGAGAGACCCAGAAAAUUCUCGUGACGAUCAAAUUGUCGGUUUAUCGCCCCCUCCGAGCCCAAGCUCAACUCUACGUUAUCCAUCGGUCAACCACGCAAACAAGCGCAGACCACCAAGCAGGGUAAAACCCCGGCCACCAUCCGCACCGUACAAGUUUGAAAUUCCACAUGCCACUCGACCGAAACCAGUCAGUGAGAUACUGAAACCAACACGCAACGAUCAACCCCCAAAAGCUGUUGAAGAUUCUUAUCGAAAGUCAAGACGACCACGCACAAAACCACAGAUGAAAAGCCAGAGACGAUCAGCCCUGUUUUAGGAGGAUCCUUGACCGUAGAAGAGUCGUCUCAAAAACCGGAAGUAAUAACCGCCAACAGUAAGGUUGUCAUGAGCCAUGACAACAGCAUCCACAAACCUGGCACAGUGCAGGUUUCGGGAGCCUCACCGACUCUCCAAACCGUGGUCAUCGGCAAACCCAUUCCAGAAGAUAUGAUUGCCCAACGGCAGUGAAGAAACCGGAAAUCACUCCACAAUGGAGCAAUGGCAUCAUUGUCGGCUCUGAAACCGUCUUCGAGGAUGACAUCCAUCAAGUAACACCCUCGAUCGAAACAAAACGAAAAGAACCGUUCAACCCACCUGCGGAAAACAUCCAAACCAAGCCACCAGUCACUAGCAUCAAAAUCAAACCAACAAAAUCCGUAGUGAGCCAGCAUAACGUAAUCAGCUUGGUUCUCAACCGGGAUGAGUCGGCAAACAAAUCAUUUGACGGGCCCUACCAAAUCCGUCAAAACUACCGACCAAAAUUACCUGGUAUCAAAACCGGCAACAAAAUUCAGACCCCAUCUGAUGAUGUACUUUUUGAGGAGAUCGACCACCAAGUUGGGAUUAUUUCAGCUGGCUCAGACUCAUUGGAAUGCCAACGCGCUUCAUCACCCACACGCAAACACUAUCUGUUACGAUUACUGAAACGACGGUCGUUCAAUCUGAAGGUCAGCAACCGUCAACACACACGCUGGUCUUAACGAAGACUAAAACAUCCACCUUAGUUGACACUGUGACAGAGCUCCAUACCAUCGUAAAGCCAACUCGGAUUCUGUCAACCGUGACCACCACAAUUCCAGUCCCGAUAAUUCAGAGCACAGUGGAGUACACACACCCAACAACUUCAACAACCCCACAAGCCCCCGAACCAAAACCGGUUCCAUCGGUAGAAAAUGAAUCGAUAUUCAUCGUAAUGUCCGACAAGAAAGGAAUGAAUCAGGUGCCCAUACCGUCUGAGAGACCCGAAAUUCAGAUGCCGGAUGAGACCAAUGAGAUCUCUCCAAAUGAUGUGCUGCUCAGCGGAAUUUUGACUCAUUCUUCGGAUAACGAGUGUCGGCCAGAGUGCAAGGCUGCACGCAAUGAGCUGUGCCAAAAAAUUGAUAAUGUGAUGCGCUGUGUGUGCCGACCUGGAUUUGCCAGAAUAUUUAUGGAUAGACCAUGCAAGC